AUGAAGAAUAUGGGAUUUUUUCAAGGGUUCCUAAAGCUAAAGGAGCCCAGUUUCUCAAGCUUUGACAUAAAGUCUUUCAGAGCCCUGGAUCCCUGUCAAUGUCAUGCUGAAGCUCAAGUCACUGAAGUGAUCCAUCGUGCUGCUGCAGGAGAGUGGUGCAGAGAUGGGACAGACAAGGAGAUGCAGGAGGCACAGGGGAGGAGAGGGACAGACCCUAGGAAAUGGGCAGCACCUGCAGCAAGUACCAGGGGGACACAGUUUGCUUUCUUCCUGCCUGACUUGUAAACUUCCUACUCAGUAAAAGUUGUGAGGUUUAUCCAUCUAACAAAUGAAGCCCAAGGCAUAAAGUCUUUGUUGCAGCCACAGACAAAAAAGUAAGUUUUUAUUAAUAGAGAUGAACCUGGGCCUCUGAUAUCUUGCAGCAGGCCCUGACAAAGUACAUGUAGUCAAAAUCUAAUUUUAAACACAGAGAGUAAAAUUCACAGGCUGCACUUCAUCACAUCCUCUUUGCACUGGCUAGAAUUAUGUUCUGCCAAGGGGACGGUGAGAAAAGCUGUUUACCAUUGUGAUGAUUUAUUCCUACUUAAGGUUGGUUUCUUUGGGAAGUACAAAUAAUUUUUCACAAAGAUGUGUUUUACCUUGAAGUUUGGAAUCCCAAAAGCCUCUUAUUUUUGAAUGUGAUGUUGGACAGGUGUUUUUUCCUUUCAAAAUAAAACUCCUAACAAUUAUGUUUUGGUCA
RNAcentral lists this long non-coding RNA (739 nucleotides) under Cyanistes caeruleus (blue tit). RNAcentral's name for it is "lncRNA (ENSCCEG00000014871.1)". Lineage: Eukaryota; Metazoa; Chordata; Aves; Passeriformes; Paridae. The record is from RNAcentral.